GGGGUCGUAGCUCAAUUGGUUAGAGCGCCGGCCUGUCACGCCGGAGGUUGCGGGUUCGAGUCCCGUCGACCUCG
This 74-nucleotide transfer RNA is filed under the name Phycisphaerae bacterium. Its description in RNAcentral is "tRNA-Asp". It matches the Rfam family "tRNA". Rfam says of the family: Transfer RNA (tRNA) molecules are approximately 80 nucleotides in length. Their secondary structure includes four short double-helical elements and three loops (D, anti-codon, and T loops). The record is from RNAcentral. Lineage: Bacteria; Pseudomonadati; Planctomycetota; Phycisphaerae. RNAcentral also lists the same sequence under 1 other name.